RNAcentral lists this ribosomal RNA (253 nucleotides) under uncultured bacterium. RNAcentral describes it as "partial 16S ribosomal RNA". It matches the Rfam family "Bacterial small subunit ribosomal RNA", at positions 524 to 776 of the family's 1533-position model. The record is from RNAcentral.
UACAGAGGUCUCAAGCGUUGUUCGGGUUCAUUGGGCGUAAAGGGUGCGUAGGCGGCGCGGUAAGUCGGGUGUGAAAUCUCGGGGCCUAACUCCGAAACUGCAUUCGAUACUGCCGUGCUUGAGGACUGGAGAGGAGACUGGAAUUUACGGUGUAGCGGUGAAAUGCGUAGAUAUCGUAAGGAAGACCAGUGGCGAAGGCGGGUCUCUGGACAGUUCCUGACGCUGAGGCACGAAGGUCAGGGGAGCAAACGGG